Molecule: long non-coding RNA, 19298 nt
Filed under: Salvia miltiorrhiza (redroot sage)
Lineage: Eukaryota; Viridiplantae; Streptophyta; Magnoliopsida; Lamiales; Lamiaceae
Description: long non-coding RNA (SMIL_LNC011879)
Source: RNAcentral
UAUUAGAGAGAUUGUUGUCAGACUUUACAGCAAUUGACUUAUCCUCCAAUAGGUUUUCUGGGAGUAUUCCAGAUUCCAUAGGAAAUCUUAAGAUUCUCAAAUACUUGAAUUUGUCCAACAAUAACCUCAUAGGAAAUAUACCUUCAUCUCUUGCAAAUAUGAGUGAACUUGAAUCCUUGGACUUGUCAGAGAACAAGUUGGAUGGAGAAAUUCCAGGUGAUUUGACGAGGUUGACAUUUCUUGCGAAAUUAAACCUUUCAAUGAAUAAUCUUGUGGGGCAAAUACCACAGUCUAAGCAGUUUUCCACAUUUGAGAAUGAUUCAUACGUGGGAAACUUGGGACUGUGUGGAGUUCCGUUGACAAGAAAAUGCAAUGAAGAGAACGGGCAUCAGAUGCAGCCAGAAGAAGAAGAUGAUGACUAUUAUGGAUUUAUAGAUGGAUUCGGAUGGAGAAGUGUGGUGAUGGGAUAUGGAAUUGGAUUCAUAGUUGGGAUUGGAAUUGGUUACAUCAUUAUUAGAAAUGGAAGGCCAAGAUGGUUAGUGGAAUUAUUUUUCGGUGUUUAAUGUAAUAAUAAUAAGAAGAGGAGGCGUGUGUGGAACAUGAAUCCAGUUGAUUUAUUGGAAGCUGAUUCUGGGGAUAUUCAUCAAACAGGUGGCGAGCACAAACUUGCUUUCUAAUAGAGAUACCCAUUCAGUCCGCCACCAGUCAAGACUUUGAGUCUCCAACAAAGUUAGCAGGGAUUUGGUCUUGUUUCUGGUUUUAUUUAUGGUUUAUGACAUAGGUGUAUCAUUCAAUCAAUGCAGCUUUGAUUUUUAUUUCUAUGUGAUAUUGAAGUACUAGUACUAAAUAAUAUAUGGAAUUCUGCAUCUCAGCAUUGAUGAGUUUGAUAACUUGAUUAUGCAUUUUCAGAAGUUUAUUUUUUGUCUCCAACAUUGGUUUUUGAUGUUUUUGCUAAAGCUUGUUUUUGGUCCAGUAAUUAUUGUUAUAAGAAAAAAUAAUUAUUGAUAUAAAUAAAAGUAAUGUUUCUAGAUUAUUACAUUAGUUCCGAUAAUUGCUACUUUAAUUUAUGAGAAUUUGUACUUUUAAUUAUUUGAUCAAAUAAUUAUUGGUGUAACCAAAAGUAAUAAUUGUUGUAAUAUACAAAGUAAUUAUUUUAAUGAAGAAAUGUCAUAAACAUUACAUUUCUUCACAAUAAUUUUUGUACGUAAAAGUAAUUAUUGGUGUGAAGAAAAGUAAUGUUAUAUUCACAAGUUAAUACUUUUAUUCAUAAUUAUUUGGUCAAGUAAUUAUUAUCGUAACAAAAAGUAUUGUUAUAAUGNCAAAAAUACUACACGUGAAUCUAGUUGGAACAGAUUCUUUUAAGCCUAUGAACUGUUCGACAAAAUUCCGAAACGAAGACGACGCAGAGAAAAUACCUCAAAACAUUUAUCAUAUCAUAUGAGUUGAAACGGCCUCAAACUCAAAUUGAUUUGGGGAAAUGAUAAAACACCACAAAGGCAAAUCGUUGGUUAACUUAUAAAUCAUUUGUUUGUAUUUGUUGCUUAAUUUAUAAAUAAUGUUUUAUACAUUUUUUUCUUUUUGGCUCUUGUUUUAUGCAAAAUAUCUUACUUCUUAUUCUAUAUAAAAGUAGAAAAAAAAAUUGAGUUUGAGUUUGGACACGCACUAUGUAACUAUAUUAACAUUUAUUGAAACAAAAAAAUUAUUUAUUCAGUGGUUGAAUAUCUUGCAUUUCUGCUGUUUAUAAGGAGAUUGUAUUUUGCAGUGUUUCUAUAGCGAAUAGCGAGCUGUUGGAACUCUGUUUUGUGUAAUCAGUUAGCUAAGUAGAAGUUUUAGAAGGCUGUCUAGUUUAGUGGUUGAAUAACUUUUGUUCUGCAUUUUUUGAUGAAAUUGUUUUUAUUGGCUUUUUAAGUCAUUCCUUUUAUCAGAAAAUUACACACACACAAUCACACGACACAAGGAAAUUCAUAAGAAUAAAUGACGAAUGUUUUAAAUGUGAUGAAUUGUAGAGUGGCUGAGCAAAUUAGAUGGCUUAAGCUACUACAUACAACACGUAAAUCUUUCUUUAAAUUAAAAAGUCAAUAUCUGAAAUUUUUUAUAAAAACAUGUGGGCUGGUAUGAACUUAAAAUUGUGGUGAUAAAAAUGGGCCUGAAAAACAUAUUAUACUAUCUCCACUCAAUAUUAAGUAAGGCCCAAUCUAGAUAAGCUGAAAAAUAUUUUUUCGUAGGCCCAAAUUAAAUUAAAAUCUCUAGAAUUUAAAUUUCCAUAUUUAAGACAAAAUCUCCAAUUUUAAAGCCUUACAUCUAACUGGGGGUGCGAUUAGACAAAUUCAUAAACUAAAACAUAUAAUAAAAUUUUCAAUGACUUCAUAAUAUUUAAACUUUAAAUAACUCAAACAUAAAUAAUUUUAAAUAAAUAAAUUAGUUUCGGGCUGUCACAUACUUGAAAUGAAACGACUUUGUUUCUUAUUAAUUUAAAGGGGUUAUUGCCGGAAAAUACAUGUAGUUUGUCAAUUUUCUGGUUUAUAACAUGACCUUAUAAUUUGACCAGAAAAUACACCAAUUUUCAAUUUAAUCGCAAUUAUAACAUGACUUUGUAGCUUGACCAGAAAAUACACCAGUUUUCAAUUUAAUUGUAAUUAUAACAUGACUUUAUAAUUAAUUUAGUNNNNNNNNNNNNNNNNNNACUUAAUUUUUAUAAAAAUAAAUCAAUCAAUUAACAAUAUUUUAUACAUAACAAUUUAAUAUGAAUUUACAAUAAAUAUUAAUACAUCUAUGAUGAACAAUAAUCUAAAUAAGGUCAUGUUAUAAUUUAGAUUAAAUUAAAACUUGGUGUAUUUUCUGGUCAUACUAUAAAGUCAUGUUAUAAUUGCAAUUAAAUUGAAAAUUGGUGUAUUUUCUGGUCAAAUUAUAAGGUCAUGUUAUAAACCAAAAAAUUGACAAACUACAUGUAUUUUCCGGCAAUAACCCCUAAUUUAAAAUCCCUCUCUUACACAUGAAAUAACCUAAGUCAAAAUCCCUCUCCUGUGCUUGGAAAUUCAUUGAUGGAUUUCAGCGCCAUUCAUGAAUUCGAGGACGAGCGUGAGUUGUUGUCCAUGGACAUGGCUAUCUUAUUAUUAAAAUAUCAUGGAAAAAAAUCAGAAUUUGUGGAAAUUUUGUGUAUUUUACAGCUUAUUAUUAUUAUUAUUAUUAUUUACUCAAAAUGACUGGAAUUCAAAUUGCAACAAUUGCUCUAUUUUCAAGGGGCAAUUGUGUAGAAUUUGGUUUUAAAUUGCAAAGUGUGAAUUACCCUUUAUUAUAUCUUAUUCAAAGAUCACAAAAAGAGGAUUUAAAGUCUCCCAAAUCUAUUAACAAAAUAGAGAAUAUCUUCUGCUUUUUCACGUUAUUCUAUAGUGCUAUUUUAAUAUGAAUUUUAGGGUCAUUUUUUAUGAUUUGAGUUAGACUCAAUCUCCCAAAUCGAACAGAAAGUAGAGAGUAUUUGCAAUAUUAAAUUGAAGAUCAAAUUGGUAGACAGCUGGAAUUGUUUGAAAGUUUGAACAAAGCAAAACAUGUUUGGACGUUGACGUUGACUUGCCUUGACUUUAGCUUUCAAUAUAAAUAGUCUUUGUCUUUUUCACACUCAUCAUUAUUUUCUUCGUCUUCGUCUUCGUCUUCGUCUUUCCAGUGGGAAAAUGAUUAUUUUAGCUUUGAAUAAUGCUUCCCAUUUGUCCAUCAUAUCCACACACACACUAUAUAUACAUGUACAUGGAUUUCGUAGUUCAAUAUACUAAAAAAUUACGUCAAAAUCAAGCCAAAAAAUGGAAAAAUCUCCUCUUUUUCUCAUCCUUGCACUACUCUUACCAAUCCAUUAUUUGAUGGAUUAUAGCUCUGCCAAAAACGAUAUCAACACCGAUCGUUCUUCACUCCUUGCCUUAAAAUCUCAAAUCACUUCAGACCCUCAAAACAUAUUGACCAAAAAUUGGAGCACUGAAGCCAUUGUUUGCAGUUGGAUCGGAGUUACUUGUGAUUCACGUUACAAUAGGGUUACUCAGCUGAAUAUAUCGUACAUGGGUCUUGUCGGAACCCUCCCACCAGAAAUCGGGAAUCUUUCUUCUCUCGUCUCUUUAGAAGCGAAUCAUAACUCUUUUCAUGGCCCCAUUCCCCCAUCUAUCUUCAACAUGUCAUUUCUAGAAGUUUUGGAUCUACGGAAUAAUAGUUUGUCCAGUAGUUUGCCUCUUGAUAUGUGCAUACACAAUCUGCAUAGACUCAAGUGGCUUCGUAUAUCUUACAAUGAGAUGUAUGGGGAAAUACCAUCGAGUUUGGGGCAGUGUUCACAGCUUGAGUAUCUUUCUUUGUACAAUAACAAUUUCACUGGAUUUGUGCCCAGAGAAAUUGGGAACUUGACGAAGCUUCAAAUAUUGUACCUUGAUGUAAAUAAAUUGACUGGUAAGUUGAUUCCUAUAAUUAUGAGGUCAAAUCAUGCAUUUAAUGCCUUAUUAUUUAAUUCUUUAAUUUGUGUGCUUUGCGUUUGAGAGUCAAAUUUAAACUUUAUAUCGGGUGAUAAGUAAUAUUUUUCCCUAUACGUUUCAAUCUAGAAUUAGCUAGACUAACUUUUUGUGAUUAUUUGGAUAUUUGAAGGAAUUAUUCCACAAGAGAUUCAUCAUCUUCAUAAUUUACGAGAGUUGGACUUGAGUUUGAACAAGUUGUCAGGCACUUUGCCUUCAGAAAUUGGGAACAUGAAAGCACUACAGGAUUUAUACCUUGAAAACAAUGCUUUAAACGGUAAGAUUUCUAACUCUUGUAGAGUUUUACACAUAUUCAAAUGUUUCUUAAUUAAUUUUCAUGUAUAUUUAGCAUUUACAUCCUUUGUGAGAUCUUUAACUUCUCAAAUCUAUAUUUGACUUUUCCACACAGCAUUUACAGCUAUGUUCUUCUCAAAUCAAUAUUGUUCUUUGUCUUCCAUUGAUUAGUGGAAUAAAUAUCAUUAUACUUAAACAGUGUAUAGCUCAAUCUCCCAUCCGAUCAAAUCACGUGUUUUUACUUAUUAUUCUUAUGAUAGUUAUACUGAAGAAUAUGGAACUUGACUUUGAUGACUUCAUUAUUAUCCAGGUACUAUUCCGAAAGAGAUUGGAAAUCUGUAUAAUUUACGGUUUAUGUGGUUGUAUUCUAACAAACUUAGCGGAUCAAUCCCGAGAGAAGUGGGGAACAUGACAGCUCUGGGCAGCUUACACCUCGAGAAUAAUAGUUUAAGUGGUAUCAUUUAUUGUUUCCCUAGCCACAAGUUUAGCUCCUCAAGCUAGCUUGCGAGUUAAUUUAUGUUAUGCAUAAUUUCUCCUCUUUCCAGGUCCAAUGCCUAAAUCCUUGAUCGAUCAAAUGUCAAAGUCUAAAUAAAAAUAACAAUAACUCACUAACAUAAAAUAAAUAGUGUACAUAUCACGUAAACAUUAAAUUCUAUAUAGUAUAUGUUAUCAUACCUUGAGAUGUAUGUGUUUGAUAAAUUAGUAUGACCCCCAAAUUUCUCAAAAAUUAUAAUAAACCUUAUACAAAUAAAUAAUUUUGCGGCCUAAGAAUUUUAUCGAUGAUUAAUGGUAAUUUAUUAAUAUAUCAAUAAAUUAACAACUUUUUAGUUUAUAAAGUAUUUUCUUAAUUUCAGAAAUUACAAUAAAUCAAGUUAUAAUGAGUAAAAACAAAGAGAGUUAAUAUUUAAAUUAAAUAAAUGGAUGUAUCUAUCAAGUCAAUGUGGUUGAUAUUACAGGAGAUCCUAAUGAUGUUCAAGUUGAAGAUGAUUCAACAAUAAAUUCAAAUUAUAAGAAGUUAAAAUAGUAUUCAUAAUUGUAAUAUUUUAAUAAUAUUAUUUUAAUUAUAAUAUUAAUGGGACCUAUAUAUACAAUAAUCUGCAUCGGGUCGGAAUCCAGUCAUCGAGACAGUAAUCAAUAAUUAGAAAAUUUUGACUUUAGGAUGCAAACAUUAAAAGGUUCAUAGGUUAGGGUGAUAAGUACUCCCUCCGUCCACGAAUAAAUACUCAUAUUCUUUUUGUCCGUCGAAAUGUAUCCCACACAAUCCUUUAAUUAAUACUCUUAAAAAGUGGGAUCCUUAUUCUACUCACACUACACUCAAUACAUUGCUUAAAACUCGUGCCGUCCACAAAUGGGUACUCAUUUCGUGGAUAGAGUGAAUAAUAUUUUCCAUGUACGUUUCAAUCUAGAAUUAAACUAACUUUUUUUUGAUGAUUUUAAUAUAUAUUUGUAGGAGUUAUUCCACAAGAGAUUCGUCAUCUUGAUAAUUUACAAGAGUUGGACUUGAGUUCAAACAAGUUGUUUGGCACUUUGCCACCAACCAUUUUCAACAUGUCUUCCUUGACAUUGAUUGACUUAUCAAGUAACACACUUAGCGGGGCAUUGCCUUCAGAAAUUGGGAACAAGAAAGCAAUACUAGAGUUUUUAAACCUUCAAAACAAUUCUUUAACCGGUAAGAUUUCUAACUCUUGUAGGGUUUUACACAUAUUCAAAUGUUUCUUAAUUUUCAUGUAUAUUUAGCAUUUACCGCCAUUGUGAGACCUUUAACUUCUUCUCAAAUCUAUAUUGACUUUUCCAUAUAGCAUUUACAGGUAUGUUUCUGAAAUCUAUAUUGUUCCUUGUCUUCCAUUGAUUAGUGGAAUAAAUAUCAUUAUAGUUAAAUAGUACACAGCUCAAAAUUUCCUCAAGCUAGCUUGCAAGUUAAUUUCUUUUUUUUGGGAUUCCCACAAACUUAGUGGAGCUUUGCACGCACAAAUUUGGAAUAUUAGAACUCUUUGUCGCUCACACCUUUUUAACAUUUAUUUAACUUUUCCGCCAGGUACUAUUCCUAAAGAGAUUGGAAAUCUUCAUAAUUUGCAGGACAUGUGGUUGUAUUCCAACAAACUUAGUGGAUCAAUCCCGAGAAAAGUGGGGAACAUGACAGCUCUUGACCAGUUAGGGCUCGACAAUAAUACUUUAAGUGGUAUGAUUUAUUAUCACCUAGCCACAAGUUUAGCUCCUCAAGCUGGCUUGCGAGUUAAUUUCUUUGUCUCUUAUUUCAUUUGAUCUUCUUUAAUUAUGUUGUCUUAUUUCAUUUCGUGUUGUUAUUUUAUGUUAUGCAUAAUUUCUCCUCUUUUCAGGACCAAUGCCUAAAUCUUUGAUCGAUCAAUUGUCAAAGUCUAAAUAAAAAUAACAAUAACUCACUAACAUAAAAUAAAUAGUGUACAUAUCACGUAAACUUUAAAUUCUAUAUAUNGAUCAUAGACUCCUUCUUUAAGUAGAAAUAAUCCAUGAUUAUCUUGUUGAACUUUAAUGUCGAUCCUUUAAAGAUAAAAAGUCCAUGACAAGCUUGAAGUCUAUCCUUAAUAUGAAAGAAGUCCACAACGAAUAGAUCUUUGAGGAGAGAUUGAAUACUUCAACAAAACCUUGUGCAAAUUUGAAAAGGUAUCUUUUGAGAAUAUUCUGGUACUGACGGUAUCACAUCAGGUAGCUCUGAUGGUAUCAAUUGAUAGCAAAAUGUCUAUAGAAAUGACGACAACAUAACAGAGUAAACAAUACUCUAACAAAUAUCAUUAUACUUAAAUAGUAUACAUACAGCUCAAUCUCCCAACCGAUUGAAUCGUAUAAUUUUACUUAUUAUUGUUAUGAUCGUUAUACUUAACAAUAUGGAACUUGACUUAAUUUGAUGACUUCAUUAUUCUCCAGGUACUAUUCCGAAAGAAAUUGGAAAUCUUCAUAAUUUGAGGUGGAUGUGGUUGCAUUCUAAUAAACUUUGCGGAUCAAUUCCGAGAGAAGUGUGGAACAUGACAGCUCUGGGCAGCUUACACCUCGGCUAUAAUAGUUUAAGUGGUAUCAUUUAUUAUCAUCUAGCCACAAGUUUAGCUCCUCAAGCUAACUUGCGAGUUAAUUUCUUUUUCUCAUAUUUCAUAUGAACUUCUUUAAUUAUGUGGUAUGUUGUCUUUGGAGUUGGUAGGGGUCAUUCAUUGUGUUGUUGUUUUAUAUUAUUCAUGAUUUCUCCUCUUUUCAGGUCCAAUACCAUCUACCAUUGGAAACCUAUCACGUUUAUGGCACUUAAAUCUUGCUUCCAACAAAUUCAGUGGUGAGUUUCCAUCCUCCAUCAGCAACUUGACAUAUUCUUUGAAAUACUUAAUCUCUAGUACAUAACAGUUUGGAAGGUUUUCGAAACUUUAGCAAAUCUUUGAUGAUCUUUCGUUUAAACACAAACCAAUUUAGUGGUAUUAAAUUGCAAGGACCAUCAACAUUUACCAAUGGUAGUAAUCCUUUUCAGUCAUUUUUUUAGGGGAUCUUUUCCGGUCAAUUUAAGUGGUAAUAAAUUGCAAGCAACAUUACCUAAAUCUUUGAUCAAUUGUCAAAGUCAUAUAGUUGUGUAUUUCACAAAUUUAUAAAUGACUUUUCCAUAUAGUAUUCAUUAGGUCUAGUAAGAAAUCUGUUGAAAUUAAAUAUACUAUAUUUAGAAAUAAUGCAAUACAUUCGCCAUUAUGUUAAACAAGAUGUUGAACUUUAUGUAUACCAAUGUAAAUGUCUAGUUCAAAUUACAGACAAAAGCUUAUAUAGAUUAAAAUUGUCGAUGUUGGUAAAAUGCUUUGUGCUUUUUUAGAUAUAAAGAAAUUUGAUUCAUAUCAUUCUCUAUCUUUCCAAUAAUAUAUCUGAAGGCCUCGUACCAACUUUCAGGUCAAAUACCAUCCUCCAUUUGUAACUUGACAUCCCUUGAGUAUCUUGUUCUCUCAAACAACACUUUGGAUGGAUCAAUUCCACAAUGCUUUGGAAACUUGAGCUCUUUGGCCAUCUUUCAUUUAAAUGAAAAUCAGUUUAAUGGUCUCAUUCCAUCAACAUUUAGCAAGGGGUGUAUCUUGGUCAUAAUUUGAAUGUAAUAAAUUGCAAGGACCAUUACCUAAAUCCUUGAUCAAUUGCCGAAGUCUACAAGGCCUCGACGUUGGAAAUAAUAGAAUAAAGACGAAUUUCCCUUUUGGAUGGAACCUUCCAGACCUUCGAGUGUUGGUCAUGAGGUCUAACAUGUUUUAUGGCAACAUGUCACUUCCUUCACAAACCAAGAUUCCAUUUGCUAAUUUGCAAGUUUUAGAUAUAUCUCGGAAUAGAUUAGUGGGAUCUCUACCUCAAAGAUAUUUCAAGAAUUUUAAAGCAAUGAUAGAGGAAAAUGAGACAAUCACAUCAAAUGAAUUUGAAAAUUAUGUGGAGAUGAGGCUCACCUUGAAAGGUUUGGAUCAAUUAUUACAGAGAUUGUUGUCAGCCUUUACAACAAUUGACUUAUCCUCCAAUAGGUUUUCUGGGAGUAUUCCACAUUCCAUAGGAAAUCUUAAGAUUCUCAAAUACUUAAAUUUGUCCCACAAUAACCUCAUCGGAAAUAUACCUCCAUCUCUUGGAAAUAUGAAUGAACUUGAGUCCUUGGACUUGUCAGUGAACAAGUUGAAUGGAGAAAUUCCAAGUGAAUUGACAAGGUUGACAUUUCUUGCGAAAUUAAACCUUUCAAUGAAUAAUCUUGUGGGGCGAAUACCACAGUCUAAGCAGUUUUCCACAUUUGAGAAUGAUUCAUAUGUGGGAAACUUGGAACUGUGUGGAGUUCCGUUCACGAGAAAAUGCAACAAGGAGAAGGGACAACGGCCAGAAGAAGAAGAAGAUGAUGAUGAUGAUGAUGAGUCUGGAUUUAUAGAUGGAUUUGGUUGGAGAAGUGUGGUGAUGGGAUAUGGAAGUGGAUUCAUAGUGGGAAUUGGAAUUGGUUACAUUAUUAUUAGAAAUGGAAGGCCCAGAUGGUUAGCUGAAUUCUUUUUUGGCGUUGGAUAUAAUUAUAAGAUGAAGAAGAGAUGCAGCAAUGCUACACCAACACGCCGCAGGAGAACUUAAUUGAAGCCCAAAAGAAUUCAUUUGUUCUUCAGUUGGUGUGUUUUGGUCGAUUUGAACUUUGGAGUUUAUGAAAUAUUGUUGUAUGUUCGAAUUUGCGAAGUUUUAAUUUUAUCUUGUUUCGAUAUAUUUUUUAGAUUAAAUCAGUUUUGUGAUUUUAUUUGGUAAAUUUUUAGAUUUGUUAAAAAUGACUUAGUUUUAGUGACAUAGAACACUUGAUUGUCCACGCUAAUAAUUUUUUUAGAUCAUUCUGUUUGAGCAGAUUUUUGCACGCCUACGAACUGUUUGAUAAAAGUCCGAAAUGAAUUCUCGGAGUUGUUCAGGUUAACGCAUAAUUCGCUCACCAAAGCUAACGCAUACUUUUAACAAUUUAAAUAGAUAUUUAUUGGGAAAAUUCUUAAAUCAAAUGAUAGUAUUUAGUUAAAUAAAUAUAUAUUUACAAUUUCUUAAUUUCCUAUAACAUGCCCAACAUAUUCUACCCGAGUUGACGCUACAUUAAAUGUAAACACUUUUAGGAGCUUAUAAGCUCUUGAUGAUGUUUGACAAAAUGAGCUAUUACACAACUUAUAAGGUAACCAAGAGUAUGGUAUUCCGUGUGCGUGUGUUGCCAAGCAGUAAGAGCUUAAUGCCUAAGGCCAAAAGUCUUGGAUUCGAGUCCCUUGUGGCGCGACCUUUUAAAUUUCUUUAUUUAUAAAAAAUAAGAUUUAAGUUAUUGCACCUAAAUAAUUUUUUGAUAAAUUCAAAAAGAACUUCUUAUUUUUUAAAUCUUAUAAGCAACAUUUAUUUUAUAAAAGUUACCCUACUAUUAUUUUUUAUUUCUAUCAUAUACUCUUUCAAUUUUAUAUCCCUAACUUUGUCGAUAUUAAACUCAUCAUUUUCUGCAUCAAAAAUCACCAAAUUAUAUAUUAAAUUACAUUAAAGCACAAAAUAAUCUAAGAAUAUGAGCAACUCAAAUACACACUUUAAGUUUCAAAUUAUCUUACCCAGGAUGCCAUAUCGUAUCUCAACUUCCUCCUCUUUCUCAUAAAACAACUUUGUUUUGACUAUUCCGCCACUUACUUCUUAUUUUAUACAAGUAAACAACUUUGUUUUCUUUUAAGGGGUGCCUUUACUUUGGUGUUAAAAUUUUCAUUGGAAAAUGAUGGAUAAGAAAAGAUGAGAAAAUAUUAUUUUUUCUUCUUUUUUUAUGUUAUGUUUAUUAGAGAUGAAAAGAUGAGAGAGUAUUGGAGAGAAAAAAAUGUGAAAAUGAGCUGCCCAAGAAAAUAUUUGAUUCUGCCCGGAGAAAAUUUUACAUUAUAGUAAAUAUAUGAAAACGGUGAAAAAUAUGUGAAAAUAUAUUUUUUUUCUCUCAUUUUCCAUCAAAGUAAACGCACCCUAACAGGUAACUGUGAUUCACGUUAUAGUAGACAAACUCAUUUAAAUAUCUCGCACAUGGAACUAGAAAUCAAAAAUCAUUCUUGCAUAAUUGAGUUUGGGUCAAUGUUCACAACUUGACUUGUGCCUACACAAAUUGGCAGCAUCAUGUGUGACACACAUUUUGUCUUUUUCUUCAGCAAAGUCCAUUCAUUACUGAAGCUUCUUAAUUUCAUUUUUCAUUUGUGGGACCCAAAAAAUGCGGCUAUAUUUGUAGUAGUUUCAUUUUCACUCGCUUUUGCCUCCAAAACUCUUAUUUUCUUCUUAAUUCUUUGCCCCAUUCACACUCCAACUUAAUUAAUUAAAAAUUGAUUGGAGAAAUUCAUACAUUUUUGCCGUAGGACUUGGGAAAGAUUAUUUUUAGAUUUCAAUAUAAACAGCACAACUACAAUAUUAGCACUCUGCAUUCACAAUAUGAAGAGAGUUUCCACAUUUUUCCUACUUUCCCUACUCAUGGGGUUUUCUUGCCUUAGCCUUGCUAACACAGAUCAAAUCAAAAGUGAUGAAUCAUCACUUCUUGCCUUCAAAUCCCGCAUCACUUCAGAUCCUUCCAAUAUUUUUAAAAAUAAUUGGACCACCGGAACCUCUAUCUGCACGUGGAUGGGAGUUACUUGCGAUUCACGUUAUAGUAGGGUGACUGCUUUAGAUCUCUCGAAUAUGAGACUCGAAGGCAGCAUCCCACCAGAAAUCAUAAAUCUUUCUUUUCUUGUUUCUCUAGAUUUGAGUGUGAACUCUUUUCAUGGUCCCCUACCAAAGGAUAUUUGCAGGCACAACAACCUUCGAAGACUCAAAGAACUUUACUUGUACUCCAACAAAUUGAAGGGGGAGAUACCAUUGAGCUUGGGUGAAUGUCCACAACUUGAGAUUAUUGACUUGUCAGACAACAACUUUGGUGGACAUGUGCCUGCACAAAUUGGGAACAUCACACAGCUUAAGGAAUUACGCCUUAGUUGGAACAAUUUGACAGGUAUGGUCUUAUCUCAAUAAUGAGAAUUUAACUCGUUCGAGUUUUAAAAAAAAUUAGGCCACUAUUUUAGGGUGUGGUUUGAAAAAAUAGGCCAAUUUUUUCGAACUUGCAAAAAUAGGUCAAUUAUUUUAAAUUUUGACGUCCGUAAGCCACAUUUGAUUCUAAUCGGGCUAUUUAGGGCCAAAUAUGGCCUAUUGAUGCCGAAUUGGGGCAAAUGUGGCCAAAGAUGCUAAAAUUUAAAGUAAUUGACCUAUUUUUGCAAGUUCAAAAAAUAUUGACCUAUUUUUUUGCAAAUCGUUAUAAGAUAGUGACUGCAAAAAAUUUUAAACUCAACUGGUUUGAUCCCACUUUUCCGUUUCUAUUGGGAUUUCAUGAAAUGACUUGAUGAUAUAUGCCAUUCAGUUUCGUAUCUGACUUUACUCAAGACGUUCUAAAGUUCCAACUUUUCAAAGAAUUUUCAAAAAAUUAAUUAAGAGAAACUCCCAAGACAUUUUAGUUUACUCAGAAAAUUUGAAAACCACAUUUCCCCAACUUUUACUUGGUGAAAACAUGACUAAACAAUAAGGCUAAAAACAAGGAUUUUUACUUAUAGUUUGUCCAGAUACAUUCAAAGUGAAGUUUCUUAGCUUCGAUCUACGUACUUAAAUCUUAACCAAAUUUCAAUCAACUUCAUUCCAUACAUUCAUAAACAUAAUAGAUACAAGAUUUCAACAACUUCCUUCAAAAAUUAUGAAAUCAAGAUGCACAAAUCUUGCAAUUCUUACAUCUUCACACAUGUUUCUCAUAUCAUAUUGAAACUCAUACUUUCAUCUCCCAACCAAUCGAACCACGUAUUUCACUUAAUAUUGUUAUGAUGGUUAUACUUAACAAUAUGGAACUUGACUUUGAUGACUUCAUUAUUCUCCAGGUACUAUUCCGAAAGAGAUUGGAAAUCUUCAUAGUUUACAGAUCAUGCGUUGGGUUCCAACAAACUUAGCGGAUCAAUCCCGAGAGAAGUGUGGAACAUGACAGCUCUUAGCAGCUUACUGCUCGACAAUAAUAGUUUAAGUGGUAUGAUUUAUUGUUUCCCUAGCACAAGUUAGUUCCUCAAGCUAGCUCGUGAGUUAAUUUCUUUUUGUUGAUGUAUUUGGAUAUUUGUAGGAGUCAUUCCACAAGAGAUUCACCAUCUUCAUAAUUUACAAUGGUUGGCCUUGAGCUUGAACAAGUUGUCGGGCACUUUGCCAUCAUCAAUUUUCACAUGUCUUCCUUGACAGUGAUUCGCUUAUCAAGAACAUGUUUAGCGGGGCAUUGCCUUCAGAAAUUGGAAACAACAAGACAACAGCACUACAUGUUUUACACCUUAAAAACAAUACUUUAAGUGGUAAGAUUUCUAUCUCUUGGAGAUAUAGCAUUUACAGCUAUUGUGAGACCUUUAAGUUCUCAAAUCUAUAUUUGACUUUUCCAUAUAGCUGGUACGAGUCAUAUAUUGUGUUGUUAAUUUAUAUUAUGCAUAAUUUCUUCUCUUUUCAGGGCUAUUACCAUCUACUAUUGGAAACCUAUCAAGUUUGUACUACUUAAAUCUUGGUUCCAACAAGUUUAAUGGUGAGCAUUCAUCCUCCAUCUGCAACUUGACAUAUAUAGAGUAAAAUAGUCGAUUUUAGUAAGAUAUUGCUCUGUGCAUUUAUAUCUACUUAUCUAUUAUAUGAAUAUUUAUUUUUAUUCCAACACAGUUACAUAAACAUAUCAAAUAAAAUUAGUGGCAUGUCAUCAUCAUACUUAAUAAUUACAUAUAGCUCAAUCUCCUAACUAAAUCAUGCAUUUUACUUAGUAAUGUUAUUUUACUUAGUAAUUUAUUAUUCGGACACAAGUUUAGUAGUAACAUGUUGACUUGUAGUUGGUAGCUAGGAGUCAUACAUUGUGUUGUUAUUUUAUGUCAUGCAUAUUUUAUCCUCCUUUCAGGUCCAAUACCAUCUACCAUUGGAAACCUAUCAAAUUUGUACUACUUGAAUCUUGGUUCUAACAAAUUUCAUGGUGAGCUUUCAUCUUCCAUCUGCAGCAUGACAUUCCUUGAAAUACUUUUACUCUCUAGUAUAUAAUAGUUUUGAAGAAUCAAUUGCACAAGGUUUUCGAAACUUUAGCAAACUUUGAAUUUCAUUUAAACAAACCAGUUUAGUUGCCUCAUUCCAUCAACAUUUACCUAAAGAAUUUUAUGUGGUAAUAAAUUGCAAGGACCAUUACCUAAAUCCUUGAUCAAUUGCAAAAGUCUACAAGCAAUUUUAUUGGAUAGAUAUAUUUAUUUAUAAGCCCUAUCAAAUAGCUAUAAAUAUAUAUCAAAUAGAUUUAGUGUAAUAUUUAAUGAAUUAAUAUAUUUUUAUAAAUAUAUAAUAUUUUAUUUAUAAAAUUACCCUUAAAAUAAAAUAUGUAAUAAGAAUAUAAUAUGCAAUCUAUAUUUUAUGCCCAAAACACUUUUUAUAUUAGUAUAGAUAAAGAAAUUUGAUUUUUAUCCUUUUAUGUCUUUCAAAUAGUAUGUUUGUUACCAACUUUCAGGUCAAUUACCAUCUACCAUUGUGAAUAUUCUACCAUUGAAUUUUCUGCAACUCUCUUCCAACAAAUUAAUCGGAGAGAUUCCACUCUCCCUCUGUAACAUGACAUCCCUUCGGUAUCUUCUUCUCUCAACAAACAAUUUGGAAGGAAUAAUUCCACAAUGCUUUGGAAACUUCAGCUAUUUGGCCAUCUUUCAUUUAAAUGAAAAUAAGUUUAGUGGUCUCCUUCCAUCAACAUUUAGCGAGAGGUGUAGUCUUGUUUCCAUCAAUUUGAAUGGUAAUAAAUUGCAAGGACGAUUACCUAAAUCCUUGAUCAAUUGCGAAAGCCUACAAGCACUCGACAUCGGAAAUAAUAGAAUACAAGAUGAAUUUCCUCUCUGGAUGGAUGUCCUUCCAGACCUUCGAGUGUUGGUCUUGAAGUCUAACAAGUUUUAUGGGAACAUAUCACUUCCUUCACAAACCAAGAUUUCAUUUCCUAAUUUGCUAAGUUUUAGAUAUAUCUCGGAAUAGAUUCGUGGGUUCUUUGCCUCAAAUAUAUUUCAAGAAUUUCAGAGCAAUGAAAGAGGAAAAUGAGAAAAUCACAUCAAAUGAGAUUGAAAAUUAUGUGGAGAUGAGGCUCACCUUGAAAGGUCUGGAUCAAUUAUUACGGAGAUUGUUGUCGGACUUUACAACAAUUGACUUAUCCUCCAAUAGGUUUUCUGGGAGUAUUCCAAAUUCCAUAGGAAAUCUUAAAUUUCUCAAAUACUUGAAUUUGUCCCACAAUAACCUCAUAGGAAAUAUACCUUCGUCACUUGGAAAUAUGAAUGAACUUGAAUCCUUGGACUUGUCAGUGAACAAGUUGAAUGGAGAAAUCCCAAGUGAAUUGACUAGGUUGACAUUUCUUUCAACAUUAAACCUUUCAAUGAAUAAUCUUGUUGGACAAAUACCACAAUCUACUCAGUUUUCCACAUUUGAGAAUGAUUCAUAUAUGGGAAACGGGGGAUUGUGUGGACUUCCAUUGACCAAACAAUGCAAUGAGGAGAAUGGGCAGCAGAUGCAGCUAGAAGAAGAUGAUGAUGAUGAAGAUGAUAAGUAUGGAUUUAUAGAUGGGUUUGGAUGGAGAAGUGUGGUGAUGGGAUAUGGAAGUGGAUUCAUAGUUGGGAUUGGAAUUGGUUACAUUAUUAUUAGAAAUGGAAGGCCAAGAUGGUUAGUGGAAUUCUUUUUUGGAGUUGGAUAUAAUUAUAAGAUGGAGCUGAGACGUAGCAGAGCUACACCAACACCAACAACACGCGGGAGAACUUAAUUGAAGCCCAAAUCAAUUGUGUGCUUUACUUGUGCCGAUUUGUGUUUUCUUUUAUCUUUUUUACGUUUUGAAUUGCUACUUAGUGUGUUUUUCUCGAUUUCAACUUUAGAGUUUAUGAAAUGUUGUUGUAUAUUCGAAUGUGUUAAGUUUUAGUUUCAUCUCGUUCUCAUUUUGAUCUAGUUGACAACUAGAUCAUUGUGUUGGAACUCUCUUUUAACAUAAAACCGGUGUCUUUUAAGUGAUGUGUAUAAGAGAUUUUGCUGUAGCGGUAAAAGAAGUUUAAUCGGGUUUUUGGAGAGCUUCUAUUCAGGUAUAAAAUAAUACUUCAUCCGUCCACAAAAAAUAAUCAUAGAAGGAGAUGACACGGGUUUUAAUAAAAAUAGUUGAGUGUAUUAAUUGUAAAUGGAGAAAAGGUCCUACUUCAUUACCUUAAAUUUUCACAUUUUUUUGCCACUCUCAAUAUUUUCAAUAAUUUUUUCUCCACUCUCAAUAUAUUCAACAACUUUAUUUCUCCACUCUCUAUAGAAUCUAACUACUUAACUAGAUAAAUAAAAAUAAUAAUAACAAUGACUCACUAACAUAAAAUAAACAAGGUACAUAUCACGUAAACUUUAAGUUCUAUAUAUAUGUUAUCAUACUAUAGUUAUAAUAAACCUUAUACAAAUAAAUAAUUUUGGGACCUAAGAAUUUUAUCGAUGAUCAAUCGUAAUUUAUUAAUGUAUCGAUAAAUUAACAACUUUUUAGUUUAUAAAGUAUUUUCUUGAUUUCAGAAAUUAUGAUUAAAUCAAGUUAUAAUGAGUAAAAAUAAAGAGAGACAAUAUUUAAAUUAAAUAAAUAGAUGUAUCUAUCAAGUUAUUGUGGUUGAUAUUACGGGAGAUCAUAAUGAUGAUCAAGCUGAAGAUGAUUCAACCACAAAUUCAAAUUGUAUAAAGAUAAAAUAGUAUUCAUAAUUGUAAUAUUUUAAUAAUAUUAAUGGGGCCUAUAUAUGCAAUAAUAUUGUGCAUCGGGCCGGAAUCCAGUCAUCGAGACAUUAAUCAAUAAGAAAAUUUUGACUUUAGGACGCAAAACAUUAAAAGGAUCAUAGGUUUGGGUGAUAAGUAAUAUUUUCCAUAUAUGUUUAAAUCUACCAUUAAACUAACUUUUUGUGAAGUUUUGGAUAUUUGUAGGAAUUAUUCCACAAGAGAUACAUCAUCUUGAUAAUUUAGGAGCUAGUGUUGGACUUGAGUUUGAACAAGUUGUCAGGCACUUUGCCACCAACCAUUUUCAACAUGUCUUCCUUGAUUGAUAUGGAUUGACUUAUCAAGUAACACACUUAGCGGGGCAUUGCCUUCGGAAAUUGGGAACAUGAAAGUAGCACUAGCGUUUUUAAACCUUCAAAACAAUGCUUUCACUCUUAUAGAGUUUUACACAUAUUCAAAUGUUUCUUAAUUUUUAUGUAUAUAUUGGAUUUACAGCCAUUGUGAGACCUAUGUACUUCUUCUCAAACCUAUAUUUGACUUUUCCAUAUAGCAUUUACAACUAUGUUCUUCUCAAAUCUAUAUUGUUCUUUGACUUUCAUUGAUUACUGGAAUAAAUAUCAUUAUACUUAAAAUAGUAUACAGCUCAAUCUCCCAACCAAUCGAAUCACGUAUUUUACUUAUUAUUCUAAUGAUCGUUAUACUAAACAAUAUGAAACUUGACUGAUGACUUCAUUAUUCUCCAGGUACUAUUCCGAGUGAAAUUGGGAACAUGGAAGCACUACAAUUUUUAUACCUUGGAAACAAUGGUUUAACCGGUAAGAUUUCUUAUUGUUGUAGGGUUUUAAACCUAUUCAACAUGUUUAUUUCCAAUUGGAACCAUUUUCAGCACGCUUGUCUCCUUAUCCAAAAAGCAUAUAUAAUUACGGAGCUCGGUGAACUUUUUUGUACGAUUUAUUGUUCUUUGUCUUCCAUUGAUUAGUGGAAUAUACUCCCUCCGUCCACCAAUUGAUAUCCUAUUUUCCUUUUUGGUCCGUGCACUAAUUUAUGUUCUACCCAUUUAUAGUAACUCUUUAUAAUUUUUUAAUUGGUGGGUUCCAAUAAACAAUACAAUUUUUCUCCACUCAACUAAUAAACAAUACACUUUGUGGGUCCCUUUGUCCACGCAACUAAUAAAUAAUAUAUUUUGUGGGUCCCUUUCUCCACUCACUACACUUUUUCUUAAAACCCGUAUUUCCUCCCCUACGUCAUAAAUUAGUGGACGGAGAGAAUAUAUCAUUAUACUUAAUACUAUACAGCUCAAUCUCCCAACCCAUUACUAGUUGUGUUUUUCACAAAAUGUCUAGUUUAAAUAACAGACAAAUGUUGGUAAAAUGCUUUGUGCAUUUUUAGAUAUAAAGAAAUUUGAUUCAUAUCCUUCUCUAUCUUUCAAAUAAUAUAUUUGAAGGUCUUGUACUAACUUUCAGGUCAAAUACCAUCAACCAUUGGGAAUAUUCUACCAUUGAUUGUUCUACAACUCUAUUCCAACAAAUUAAUCGGUGAGCUUUCAUCCUCCAUCUAUAACUUGACAUCUCUUGAUGCUCUUGUUCUCUCAAAUAUCACCUUGGAAGGAACAAUUCCACGAUGCUUUGGAAACUUGAACUCUUUGACCAUCUUUCAUUUAAAUGAAAAUCAGUUUAGUGGUCUCAUUCCAUCAACAUUUAGAGAGGUGUGUAAUUUUGUGUCCAUCAAUUUGAAUGGUAAUAAAUUGCAAGGAACAUUACCUAAAUCCCUGAUCAAUUGCGGAAGUCUACGAAGCCUCGACGUUGGAAAUAAUAGAAUACAAGAUGAAUUUCCCUUCUGGAUGGAAGUCCUUCCACAGCUUGAAGUGUUGGUCUUGAGGUCUAACAAGUUUUACGGUAACAUGUCACUUCGGGCUAAUUGCCGCUAAAUCCAUGUACUUUUUCAAUUUUUGAUUUUUUCUCAUGGCAAAAAAAAAUCUACUUUAAAAUCCAUGAAUUGCAAAAUUGAUUGGAAAUUUCCCCCGCAUCCGAUUUCCGGCCAUCAGCGAAAUGAGUCAGAUCCUAUGUGGCGAAAUUCAUUCCGGGUGUUAAGUUUAAUGAAUGACAUGGACGCCACAUAAGAUUUUAAAAACUGAAAAAAAUUAUAGGAAAUCUUAAGAUUCUCAAAUACUUGAAUUUAUCCCAGAAUAACCUCAUUGGAAAUAUACCUUCAUCUCUUGCAAAUAUGAGUGAACUAGAAUCUUUGGACUUGUCAGUGAACAAGUUGGAUGGAGAAAUUCCAAGUGAAUUGACAGGGUUGACAUUUCUU